Molecule: ribosomal RNA, 301 nt
Filed under: uncultured bacterium
Lineage: Bacteria
Description: partial 16S ribosomal RNA
Rfam family: Bacterial small subunit ribosomal RNA
Source: RNAcentral
CAGUCGCCGCGGUAAUACGUAGGUGGCAAGCGUUGUCCGGAAUUAUUGGGCGUAAAGGGCUCGCAGGCGGUUUCUUAAGUCUGAUGUGAAAGCCCCCGGCUCAACCGGUGAGGGUCAUUGGAAACUGGGAAACUUGAGUGCAGAAGAGGAGAGUGGAAUUCCACGUGUAGCGGUGAAAUGCGUAGAGAUGUGGAGGAACACCAGUGGCGAAGGCGACUCUCUGGUCUGUAACUGACGCUGAGGAGCGAAAGCGUGGGGAGCGAACAGGAUUAGAUACCCGCGUAGUCCCUGUCUCUUAUAC